UUAAACCGAGCAUAGCAAAAGCCUUGCCAACGUUUACAUCUCUUGACGCGCCUAAAAAUUCACCCGGACAAAUGAUAAUAUAAAUCGGAAAUGAUGAUAAGAAUUCCCGUUUUUUUCAUUCUUCUUUUUUUUAACCCUCAAAUUUGUUGCAAAACCGUUUGUGUGACGACGUGAAUAAUAAAUUUCUGUCCGACAUCUUGCGUCAAAAUGUUUGAUCUUAUUUUUCUCUUUCAUUUGUAAAAUUUUUUACGGCAAUUAAAACAUGAUUGAUAAAUAAAGCUUGUGAUAUUGUAGCAUACCUGAGCAGCACAGUCGCUGUCUCGGGGACACGGAACACCUGAAAAAGAAGACAACCACCAACUCUAUCGAAUCCUGCACAACGAACUAGAUAACUCCAAACCAAAACGAGACACCUCAGUCGUGACGACCUUCAAGGACAAGGCGGCGGGAAUUCAAGGUCAGGCGGGGACUGGGUGAAGGCCGUCAUGACCUUGGCAAAGAGCUUCCGACCGUUACUCUACAUCUCGUGGUGUUUAUAAGCGACUGGAUUUCGAUCUCCGUUCAAAGCCCUUACUUUCUUCAUCUGCAUAAGUUGUUCAACAACUUGUAAGUGUCGUGCAUACGACGUUGCAAUAAAUUACAGGACGUACCUGUAGGCAUAAACGUUGGCCUUAGUGGUGUAUGAUGGAAAAUAAGACUAUUGUGUAACAGCCGUUAUGGCAAUUCCUUCAACCGAAAUAACUAACGAGACUAGUGGAAACAUCAAAGUCGAUCACAACCUUGAAUUCGAUCGCUGCAUGAUACGACAUGUGUGCGUACGUUCCUUGUGUAUUUACACUAUACGUAUUAUCUCGGUUCUCUGUUCAAUUUGGAUAUCCAUGAGGUCGGAGUUUGUAACGUUAAUGUAACGAUUGACUUGUAGAAAAAACAACGUAGCCAGUCA
Molecule: long non-coding RNA, 943 nt
Filed under: Neodiprion pinetum (white pine sawfly)
Lineage: Eukaryota; Metazoa; Arthropoda; Insecta; Hymenoptera; Diprionidae
Description: uncharacterized LOC124220183, transcript variant X2
Source: RNAcentral